UGAAGGUUGCACAUGGGAUUUUUCUAUCAUAUCUGAACUGUCCAAAACGCUGUGUACGUCAUAGGUGUUGAACACUGAUGGUGUGCUGGUGCGCGGUCAGCCCACGGACUACAAGCAUGGAUUUACGGAAAAAAAUAGGACUUUAUUAGGGUGUUUUUAUAUUUUUCUUCUAUUUUAUUUACAGUAACAUUAUAUCAUUUUGGAGUUCAUUUUUAUCACAUUUCUGAAUAGGCCUACUUUUUAAUAUCGGCAUUUGAAUCCCUUUUCUCCAUCGCUUUACAUCUGGAUCGAACGACAGGACUACAUCUCUGCAUUGGGGUGAUUUACUUGAAUCUGAGUAACUCAAAAACAUCAUGCAUGACAGGACUGUUAUGCCCCUUCAGCUGAACCAUGGUCAUCAGAUUUCAUCAUCACUGGGUUAAACCCUAACACCCUAACUAAUCACCAUGAGUUGGCGACCAGAGGCCCUCGGGACCCAGCCUGUACUGUCAGUCCUGUGGCCCAGUUCUCAAUGCAUCACCUCUGGGUUGAGGAUGAAGAUACAGAGCUAUGGUUGACCUCGUCAUCACCAGAGCGCAGGAAUCCUUUGGGAGGUCUUGUAUGUGAUCGUUCCAUUCGAGAAGUGCUGUAUCCAUAUCGACAACUUGGGAAGGACGCAGGAUAUCACGUGAAGGAUCUGGGAUUUGCCCUCAGGGAUUACUGAGUUGUAGAUAUUCCAGGGGUUGGGAGAAGGCUAGAGAGUGGGUGCCUGGCAGUCAGCCUGACAUGGAACCACGGGCUGAGGGGAGCCAGCAUCAGCACCAGAGGAGGAAGCCUGUGACACAUGCACUGGAGGACCAGAAAAAGGCUUUAGAGCAAGAUGUUGUAAGGGGGAUCCCUCCAGUAGCUGAGUUCCCGUCCCACCCUGUCCUCAUGGCUGCCAGCUGGGAGAGCAUAAUAUUGGUCACGCUUUGGUGAAGCUUCUACACUGAACUGUCUGGCUGUCUUAGGGAUUAAUUUGAUAAGUGUGUGCGAUCGCUUUUAACGAUGGCCGGAGUGAAAGGCCUGUCUUUCAACAAUGUAACGCUCAGUGUUUUAUUACAUCAGCCCCCUAAUUCACGCCUUAUGGCAACUAAUUACCUCCUGUCUCAUUGUUGGCCCUCGUUUAGCCGACCCACUUUUUUCUUUAUUUAAUUCAAUUUUCACUUUAGUCCCAGACAAGUCGUUUUUAUGAUUCAGUGUUUCUGGAUUUGUUAAAGGUACAGGUAGUUUGUUGCUUACUCAUUACAAACCUUUAAUAACCCCCCCCCCCCCACCACCCCCCAUAGUGUUUUUUUUCUGACUUGAUGCUUUGGUUUACCUCUGUUUUGAAUUAUUAAUCAGGUCUAGCUGCAGCGAUCUGAAUAAUCUCUGAUUGUGAUGGUUGUAACAUUAAUGAAUGAACUUCAUGCCUGCACAUUAGCUGCCAUAUUAGUAAUCCUCCAGGUACAAUGGGACAAUGGUUACUUAGGUUAGUAUCACUGUAGCAUGAAUGCUGUUGCAGGUAUCAUUCAUUUCCAAAGAGUCACAUGAGGCUAUUGUUUUUUUACUGUCCACCUGUUCUCCAGUUGUGACCCCCUUGAUAUUCUUUCCAGUCAUUUCAGUAGUAAAAGAUAAAGGAGAGCGUUUUGCUGAAAGAGCAGUCGGUCAGGCCUGCUUAGACCGCUGAACCAACCUAGACCACUAAAUUAAAACUUAUUGACAUUUUUUGUCCCAACCAGGUACAUAUUUUAUGACAAUUUUGCGUAUUGGUUGAAGGCUGUAAUUAUAAAAGACAUUUAACAUCUGUUUGCAUGUUCCAGCCUUGGAAUGCAUCUAGUGUACGCUCCGCCCUGCACAGCACCAUCCUGUUCAUUCUGCUGGUUCUGUUAAGGACCAGUAAAGGAUGGUGUGAUGAAGUGAAUGUGAAGUCUCAUGCUCUGCCUGCUCUUCACUUUAGGAACUGGGGUCCUGUCAAGCGCAUUAGCUGUAGCCAAUGACAUUUAACCUAAUCAGUUUAUGGGGCCCGGAAAGAACGGAAAAUUGUCCGCAGUUAUGGAGGGCCAUCGAGUGAUGCUGUCACAAGAUGUUAGGCUCUACCCACAGCCAGUCUAUCCUCAGCUCUGACUUUGACUUUACGAUUGUUUUAAUGAAGUCCUGCCAAAGUGUAAUGUUGAGGGCUCUGUGAGCUGUUAGAUGAUGUCAUUGAGUAUUUGGAGCACUAGAGGUUUACUCCUAUCUGAUUAGUCUUCUUUCAUAUUAAUAUGUAGUAAUAUGAGUUCUAUAUAUUUUUUUUUUCUUCCACAAACACCAUUAGUAAUAUUUAACUUGACUAGUAGCUAGUGGUUAUGGACUAAACAAUCACCACAUUCCUAGCCUCUCACGUGACAGGCUGGAUACAUUUUUUUAGCCUAAUUAAACCUUUAAUUGGUAAAUUCCGGGCGUACUUUUGGGACAUCCAAGGUCCAUAAUUCCAAUAACUCAGAGAAGUAAGAGUACAGGGCAGGGUGAACACUAAAGCACAGUUCCUCCGCUAGUGGCUAAUGUUACCUUGAGGAUGCUCUUUAUGACUUCACAUAAAACAGGUGUGCCCAAAACCAGUAUGCUAGAUACCUGACAGAGGAGCCGUUUGGGAGGGACGUUGAUGUUGUUUAAGAUGACACUAAGCCACCCCGAAGAUCGUUUCUUAACUGCAGUCGAGGUCACCCAGAUUCUCUCGUUUCCUUUGGCUGUAAAUCUGAUUAGACAUCUGUUCUUCUAGUUGGUGUCAUUUUCAUAUUUUUCUACCAUGCCCCAGGACUAAUCCACCUACACACACACACCACACACACCACGCACACUUUUGUAUAGCUUAAAUUAGAGCCAGGCAACUCAACUCAGCUUUGAGGGCUGAAACACUUUUAGUGUGCAUCCUCUCAAUCAGAGACCAAAAAUACAACCGUUUUUGCCCUUCAGUACUGAGGCUGUCCACCGUUGGCUGUAAACAUUCUCCUCUCAUGUAGAAUGUGUCUGUAAUAUUGUCCCUGGUCCCGGGUUGUGGGCACUUGUUUUAGUUAGGUCCUCGCCUGGUCCCCAACACCAUCUGCUGCUCUCUUGCUCCUCUCUGGUUUUCUCCAACUCUCACUGAAUGUAGACGUGGGCUGAAGAACAGGUGGUGGCUGCCUGGCAGAGGCAGAACUGUGAAGCCAGAGGGAGAGCAGGAGUAAUCCCACCACCACCAUACCUGUCUUAGUACCACUGCGUCCAUUUUGAUUUGGGAGAACAACAGACAUGUGUAAGUGUGUGCUGAGCGCUAAGUAGCCGAGAGCCUUUGAUUUUGUGGCCUCUAUGCUUUGUGAACUGCUUGAGUUCUGUUAGUGUUCUGUCGGUUGAAUGCGAACCAGGUUAUUGUGUGGCUGUGGGUGGGAUGGACGGUGCUUUAUUCAGAACAACACUUCUAUGGGUAGAUCUGUGAGACAGUGGGAUGGAUUUAUUAGACUUUGGCCUUAAUCCUACAGUAGCAUCUCCUAAUGGCCUGCUUUCAGACUACAUUUCACUGGCACCACAAAUUAUUACUAAAUGGGAAUUAUGCAAAUUAUAUUUUGAUGCACAAAUUGGGAUGAGAAAGCAUAGAUUUCUAUCUUUGUUGCAGAUGGAUAAGAUGUAUAAUAUAAAAAUGUGUUAAUUUCUAGUUUUUUAAAUCUUUUCUAAGGUUGGUCGGCACUCAGCAGGUGGUCAUUUUGCUUGCGUUAACAGAGAGGUUGGGUGAGAACGGGUGAGACAAUGGGAACAUACUUGUUUCUCAUAAUGAAUAAGAUGUGGUCAAAGGUGGCUGUCUUUUCUAUUAUGUACGGCGCUAUUCCCCUCUGGUGUUGAACUGAGGGAGAAGGGGCAUUGAGACAGGAUGGGGUGAUCGGUUGCAUACAUAGGUGAACAUGAGGUCAUUACCCCAGACCUCAGAUUACAAGAAUACAUACUCCAUCACUGUGCUAUUUCUUCUUAGUUAUGUCAAAUUCCGCAAAGGUCGUGAAGUAGCAUUUUCAUUAAAUUAAUAAUGGUAACCGGUGUCCCUGCAUUUGUGCCAUCAUUGAGAAAUAAAUAAUGUUACUUUGAAGUGAUUAGUGUAUUUAGAUGUGGUGGAGGAAGUGUGGUGUCAUACUGCAGUGAGGAAUUCAACUGGGACUUGGCGUUCAUUAUCUUAGCAACAGUCUUCCUGCACAGGAUUUACUGCAGCCACAUCCCAUUCAUAGUGAUUGCAAAAGGCCUUUUUGAAUGCCACUUGAGGUAAAGAGUUACAUUUACAAGGGGUUACAAGGUUUAGUCUACCAUUUAAAGGUCACUAUGGAUGAAAUAAAAAAACUCAGUGUUAUAAAAAGUCCUCCUUUGUAGGUACCUUUAGGUUCAAGGUAAACAAACCUUAAAACAACAAUAUGAUAUUUCCAUUGGGUUGAGGGUUUCUGUUAAAAUGAUGUAACACUGUCUUGGAUUGAGCUCCCUGAUUGGUGCAUUGGUCUGAGAUAACUGCUGGCAAAAGCCUCUGGAUGGAGAAAGCAGUGUGUACUAAGCUUGGCAAGAUGUGCAUCAGCAGAUGUCUUGAUCUUUGUCUGUCUUGCAUCUGCCAUGGAGUUCAUGUGACAAGACAAUGCCUUGUCAAGAAUUGGAUGUUACAAAAUUGUGAGUAGAAAGACAUCAGAUAAUGAUGAAGUAUUUUUUUUAAUUAAAUGGGCCAUAUGUAAGACUUAUUGUGCUAUUAGCAUAAAUACAACUAUAAAUGAACCGUUAAUGUUUUUAAAUUUAUGUUUUGAAUAUUUG
This is a long non-coding RNA of Esox lucius (northern pike), 4788 nucleotides long. NCBI's taxonomy places the organism in Eukaryota, Metazoa, Chordata, Actinopteri, Esociformes, Esocidae. The record is from Ensembl.